CUAUGCCCAAUAUGACAUCGAACUCUUUAAGGUUCUUGAGUUCUAGCAUCCUAUUGGGCAUUAUCCAGUCGCCUACUUGUACUGGACACGAUGAGCAUUCCGUGUAGGUGUUAAACGUCGACCCAGGGCCCUCAACUCGCCACUUGUCACUCGCCUCUAUGAGUAUGUCAUGCAUGCGUGCGAAUGAUCUACUGAUAAAUGAAUGUGUGGCGCCUGUAUCAAACAUAGCCCUGGUGCGAACUCCGUUAAUUAAAACCAUA
Molecule: long non-coding RNA, 260 nt
Filed under: Ananas comosus (pineapple)
Lineage: Eukaryota; Viridiplantae; Streptophyta; Magnoliopsida; Poales; Bromeliaceae
Description: long non-coding RNA (ACOM_LNC042213)
Source: RNAcentral